Molecule: ribosomal RNA, 253 nt
Filed under: uncultured bacterium
Lineage: Bacteria
Description: partial 16S ribosomal RNA
Rfam family: Bacterial small subunit ribosomal RNA
Source: RNAcentral
UACGUAGGGGGCUAGCGUUGUCCGGAAUCAUUGGGCGUAAAGAGCGUGUAGGCGGCCCGGUAAGUCCGCUGUGAAAGUUGGGGGCUCAACCCUCGAAUGCCGGUGGAUACUGUCGGGCUAGAGUGCGGAAGAGGCGAGUGGAAUUCCUGGUGUAGCGGUGAAAUGCGCAGAUAUCAGGAGGAACACCAAUUGCGAAGGCAGCUCGCUGGGACGUAACUGACGCUGAGACGCGAAAGCGUGGGGAGCAAACAGG